This 253-nucleotide ribosomal RNA is filed under the name uncultured bacterium. RNAcentral's name for it is "partial 16S ribosomal RNA". It matches the Rfam family "Bacterial small subunit ribosomal RNA", at positions 524 to 776 of the family's 1533-position model. The record is from RNAcentral.
UACAGAGGGUGCGAGCGUUAAUCGGAAUUACUGGGCGUAAAGUGCGCGUAGGCGGCUUUGCAAGGCGGGUGUGAAAUCCCCAGGCUUAACCUGGGAACUGCAUUCGAGACUGCGUUGCUAGAGUAUGGGAGAGGGAAGUGGAAUUUCCGGUGUAGCGGUGAAAUGCGUAGAUAUCGGAAGGAACAUCAGAGGCGAAAGCGACUUCCUGGACCAAUACUGACGCUCAUGUGCGAAAGCGUGGGGAGCAAACAGG